CAGCCGCGCGGUAAUACCGGCGGCCCGAGUGGCGGUCACUAUUAUUGGGCUUAAAGCGUCCGUAGCCGGGUUGGGAAGUCCUCCGGGAAAUCUGGCCGCUUAACGGUCAGAAUGCCGGAGGAUACUCCCAGCCUAGGGAGCGGGAGAGGCCGAGGGGAUUCCCGGAGUAGGGGUGAAAUCCUAUAAUCCCGGGAGGACCACCUGUGGCGAAGGCGCUCGGCUGGAACGCGUCCGACGGUGAGGGACGAAGGCCAGGGGAGCAAACCGGAUUAGAUACCCGGGUAGUCCUGGCUGUAAACGAUGCGGACUUUGUGUCGGACAAGCUAUGAGCUUGUCCGGUGCCGGAGGGAAACCGUUAAGUCCGCCGCCUGGGGAGUACGGCCGCAAGGCUGAAACUUAAAGGAAUUGGCGGG
RNAcentral lists this ribosomal RNA (413 nucleotides) under uncultured microorganism. RNAcentral's name for it is "bacterial SSU rRNA". It matches the Rfam family "Archaeal small subunit ribosomal RNA", at positions 459 to 872 of the family's 1478-position model. The record is from RNAcentral.